UACGUAGGGUGCAAGCGUUGUCCGGAAUUAUUGGGCGUAAAGAGCUUGUAGGCGGUUUGUCGCGUCUGCUGUGAAAUUUCGGGGCUCAACCCCGAACUUGCAGUGGGUACGGGCAGACUAGAGUGUGGUAGGGGAGACUGGAAUUCCUGGUGUAGCGGUGAAAUUCGUAGAUAUUGGGAAGAACACCUGAGGUGAAGACGGGUUGCUGGGCCGACACUGACGCUGAUGCGCGAAAGCCAGGGGAGCAAACGGG
Molecule: ribosomal RNA, 253 nt
Filed under: uncultured bacterium
Lineage: Bacteria
Description: partial 16S ribosomal RNA
Rfam family: Bacterial small subunit ribosomal RNA
Source: RNAcentral